AACGAACGCUGGCGGCAUGCCUAACACAUGCAAGUCGAACGGGAUCUAUAGGUUCGCUUAUAGAUUUAGUGGCGAACGGGUGAGUAACGCGUGGGAAUCUACCCUCAAGUGUGGAAUAACUUUUAGAAAUGGAAGCUAAUACCGCAUAAUCCCUAAGGGGCAAAGGCUUGCCGCUUGAGGAGGAGCCCGCGUCAGAUUAGGUAGUUGGUGGGAUAAAGGCCUACCAAGCCAACGAUCUGUAGCUGGUCUGAGAGGACGAGCAGCCACACUGGGACUGAGACACGGCCCAGACUCCUACGGGAGGCAGCAGUGGGGAAUAUUGGACAAUGGGGGAAACCCUGAUCCAGCAAUGCCGCGUGAGUGAUGAAGGCCU
Molecule: ribosomal RNA, 373 nt
Filed under: uncultured bacterium
Lineage: Bacteria
Description: bacterial SSU rRNA
Rfam family: Bacterial small subunit ribosomal RNA
Source: RNAcentral